RNAcentral lists this small RNA (995 nucleotides) under Arabidopsis thaliana (thale cress). Its description in RNAcentral is "ATSL274710". Lineage: Eukaryota; Viridiplantae; Streptophyta; Magnoliopsida; Brassicales; Brassicaceae. The record is from RNAcentral.
GAAAGAAUUGAUGAACCUUCGCCGUGGGUCCCACCCGCUGUAUAGGGACACCCCAUCUAGUCUUAACGAGCUUUGAUGCAUAAAAAAAUUCUAAAACAAUGCUUUAACAAGUAAUUUUGGGUCCGUAAUAUAGCCCAAAUCACAAAAAUGCGCGAAAAAGUAUUUAAAGGUCAAAAUUUGGGUUCGACAAAAAGUCAAUGGAAAAGUUCGUUUGUCCUGCUUCUUUCGUCGGAAGGCUCUCUUUGGGAUUUCCGAAAAGGUAGCACAUGCCUAGUUUGGCCUCACGGUAUAAAAGUUAUAGAGUUAUAAAGUUUUAACCAAAAAAAACAAAUUAAAAAAAAAGAGGGAUGCAACACGAGGACUUCCCGGGAGGUCUCCCAUCCUAAUACUACUCUCGCCCAAGCCCGCUUAACUGCGGAGUUCUGAUGGGAUCCGGUGUUUUAGUGCUGGUAUGAUCGCAUCCGUUAGUAUAUGCAAUGCAAUCUUAUAUAUUCUUUUUUGAAGACUUGAUGAACCAUUCUUCGUGGGUCCCACCCGCUGUGUAGGGAUACCCCAUCUAGUCUUAACGAGCUUUGCUGCAUUGAAAAAAUUCUAAAACAAUGCUUGAACAAGUAAUCUUUGGUCCGUAAUAUAUCCCAAAUCACAAAAAUACCCGAAAAAGUACUUAAAGGUCAAAAUUUGGGGUCGACAAAAAGUCAAUGGAAAAGUUCCUUUGUCCUGCUUCUUUCGUCGGAGGGCUCUCUUUGGGCUUUCCGAAAAGGUAUCACAUGUCAAGUUUGGCCUCACGGUAUAAAAGUUAUAGAGUCAUAAAGUUUUAACCAAAAAAAACAAAUUAAAAACAAAGAGGGAUACAACACGAGGACUUCUCGGGAGGUCACCCAUCCUAGUACUACUCUCGCCCAAGCACGCUUAACUAAAGGUCAAAAUUUGGAGUCGACAAAAAGUCAAUGGAUAUGUUCCAUUGUCCUGCUACUUUCAUCGUAGGGCUCUCUUUG